RNAcentral lists this ribosomal RNA (443 nucleotides) under uncultured bacterium. Its description in RNAcentral is "partial 16S ribosomal RNA". It matches the Rfam family "Bacterial small subunit ribosomal RNA", at positions 338 to 795 of the family's 1533-position model. The record is from RNAcentral.
CCUACGUGAGGCAGCAGUGGGGAAUAUUGGGCAAUGGGCGCAAGCCUGACCCAGCAACGCCGCGUGAAGGAAGAAGGCUUUCGGGUUGUAAACUUCUUUUCUGAGGGACGAACAAAGUGACGGUACCUCAGGAAUAAGCCACGGCUAACUACGUGCCAGCAGCCGCGGUAAUACGUGGGUGGCAAGCGUUAUCCCGAUUUAUUGGGUGUAAAUGGCGUGUAGGCGGGAAAGCAAGUCAGAUGGUAAAACGCAGGGGCCAAACCUGAGCCUGCAUUUGAAACUGUUUUUCUUGAGUGCUGGAGGGGCAAUCGGAAUUCCGUGUGUAGCGGUGAAAUGCGUAGAUAUACGGAGGAACACCAGUGGCGAAGGCGGAUUGCUGGACAGUAACUGACGCUGAGGCGCGAAAGCGUGGGGAGCAAACAGGAUUAGAUACCCUAGUAGUC